This 584-nucleotide ribosomal RNA is filed under the name Leptopelis grandiceps. RNAcentral describes it as "partial 16S ribosomal RNA". It matches the Rfam family "Bacterial large subunit ribosomal RNA", at positions 1793 to 2607 of the family's 2925-position model. Lineage: Eukaryota; Metazoa; Chordata; Amphibia; Anura; Arthroleptidae. The record is from RNAcentral.
GNNUCGCCUGUUUACCAAAAACAUCGCCUCUUGCUUAACUAUAAGAGGUCCAGCCUGCCCAGUGAUAUAAUUCAACGGCCGCGGUAUCCUAACCGUGCGAAGGUAGCAUAAUCACUUGUUCUCUAAAUAAGGACUAGAAUCAAUGGCGUCACGAAGACCUAUCGUCUCCCCCCUACGAUCAGUGAAACUGAUCUCCCCGUGAAGAAGCGGGGAUUUAAAUAUAAGACGAGAAGACCCUAUGGAGCUUAAAAUGAGAUUCAACUGUUUUAUACCAUACCAUAGUAAUAUUCACCACUGAGCACUAAUUUUUGACUGGGGAGAUCGCGGAGCAAGCAUAACCUCCAUGAUGAACGGAAUAAAAUCCUUAUCAAAGAGAUACAUCUCAAAGAAAUAACAUCUUAACAUUUAUUGACCCAAACUACUUGAUCAACGAACCAAGUUACCCUAGGGAUAACAGCGCAAUCCGUUUCAAGAGCCCCUAUCGACAAACGGGUUUACGACCUCGAUGUUGGAUCAGGGUAUCCCAGUGGUGCAGAAGCUACUAAGGGUUCGUUUGUUCAACGAUUAAAACCCUACGUGAUCUG